Molecule: long non-coding RNA, 640 nt
Organism: Asparagus officinalis (garden asparagus)
Lineage: Eukaryota; Viridiplantae; Streptophyta; Magnoliopsida; Asparagales; Asparagaceae
Exons: 2
Source: RefSeq, a predicted model, not a curated record
GGGAACUGAACGAAGAAUUCGGCCAAGAUUCUAUCCUAAAUAGUUUUCAUCUGCUGCACUCUUUGUUACUUUAUUUAUUUCCUUCCUGUUCUAUGCUAGAAGGGGGGAAAUAGAAAGAAAUCAUAGAUGGGAACCAGUAUAACUGCAGAUCACAUACAAUGUAAGUGGAGAGAACAAAUGGCAAACACAAUGUGGAGGGCGGAGCUCAAGGAGGAGCUGGCCACGUUGGCUGGUGGAGAUCUGAUGGUGGUGGUGCCGGAGGGCUUGGGUGAGCGGAGGGAAGGCGCUGGAGGGGAUGGAGCUCGGGUUCGGGCGGUUUGGGGUUGAAGGAGAUGGUUCUGGGGGUGCUUGGCGGCGUGUGGUCGGAGGUGGAGGUGGUGUUGGGGGUGUUUGGCGCGGUGAGGGAAGGUGAGCGGAGGAGGGUGUUGGCGCAACGACGGCCACAAUUUGAGCUGUUAUUUGAAUUGUUCCAAAAGGACCUAUUUAUCUUGUUGUGAUAAUUAUGAACAUGAAGGUUAAAACCAUUUAUCUUGUAUUGUUGUGAUAAUUUGAUGUUGAAACUAUGUACUUGUGAAUUUUCUUGUAUUUUAUGUGAUAAUUUGAUGUUGAAACUAUGUACUUGUGAUAAUUUGAUGUUGAA